This 415-nucleotide ribosomal RNA is filed under the name uncultured bacterium. RNAcentral's name for it is "bacterial SSU rRNA". It matches the Rfam family "Bacterial small subunit ribosomal RNA", at positions 505 to 916 of the family's 1533-position model. The record is from RNAcentral.
GUGCCAGCAGCCGCGGUAAUACGAAGGGGGCUAGCGUUGUUUCGGAAUUACUGGGCGUAAAGCGGUGCGCAGGCGGCGCAUUAAGACAGGUGUGAAACCCCCGGGCUUAACCUGGGAACUGCGCUUGUGACUGAUGUGCUUGAGUGCGGCAGAGGGGGGUGGAAUUCCUGGUGUAGCAGUGAAAUGCGUAGAGAUCAGGAGGAACACCGAUGGCGAAGGCGGCCCUCUGGACGGCUACUGACGCUGAGACGCGAAAGCGUGGGGAGCAAACAGGAUUAGAUACCCCGGUAGUCCUAGCCCUAAACGAUGGGCACUAGGUGUAGGAGGUGUCGACCCCUCCUGUGCCGUAUCUAACGCAUUAAGUGCCCCGCCUGGGGAGUAUGGUCGCAAGGCUGAAACUCAAAUGAAUUGACGG